CAGGAGGGGGAUAACGGCCGGAAACGGCCGCUAAUACCCCAUAUGCCGAGAGGUGAAACGAAUUUCGCCUGAGGAUGAGCCCGCGUCUGAUUAGCUAGUUGGUGGGGUAAUGGCCCACCAAGGCGACGAUCAGUAGCUGGUCUGAGAUGAUGAUCAGCCACACUGGGACUGAGACACGGCCCAGACUCCUACGGGAGGCAGCAGUGGGGAAUUUUCCGCAAUGGGCGAAAGCCUGACGGAGCAACGCCGCGUGAGGGAUGAAGGCCUCUGGGCUGUAAACCUCUUUUCUCAAGGAAGAAGACAUGACGGUACUUGAGGAAUAAGCCACGGCUAAUUCCGUGCCAGCAGCCGCGGUAAUACGGGAGUGGCAAGCGUUAUCCGGAAUUAUUGGGCGUAAAGCGUCCGCAGGCGGCCUUGUAAGUCUGUCGUUAAAGCGUGGAGCUUAACUCCAUUUCAGCGAUGGAAACUACAAGGCUUGAGUGUGGUAGGGGCAGAGGGAAUCCCCGGUGUAGCGGUGAAAUGCGUAGAUAUCGGGAAGAACACCAGUGGCGAAGGCGCUCUGCUGGGCCAUAACUGACGCUCAUGGACGAAAGCCAGGGGAGCGAAAGGGAUUAGAUACCCCUGUAGUCCUGGCCGUAAACGAUGAACACUGGGUGUCGGGGGAAUCGACCCCCUCGGUGUCGUAGCUAACGCGUUAAGUGUUCCGCCUGGGGAGUACGCACGCAAGUGUGAAACUCAAAGGAAUUGACGGGGGCCCGCACAAGCGGUGGAGUAUGUGGUUUAAUUCGAUGCAACGCGAAGAACCUUACCAGGGUUUGACAUCCUGCGAAUCCCUUGGAAACGAGGGAGUGCCUUCGGGAGCGCAGAGACAGGUGGUGCAUGGCUGUCGUCAGCUCGUGUCGUGAGAUGUUGGGUUAAGUCCCGCAACGAGCGCAACCCACGUCUUUAGUUGCCAGCAUUCAGUUGGGCACUCUAGAGAGACCGCCGGUGAUAAACCGGAGGAAGGUGUGGAUGACGUCAAGUCAUCAUGCCCCUUACAUCCUGGGCUACACACGUACUACAAUGCUACGGACAAAGGGUUGCAAGCUCGCGAGAGUUAGCUAAUCCCAUAAACCGUGGCUCAGUUCAGAUCGUAGGCUGCAACUCGCCUACGUGAAGGAGGAAUCGCUAGUAAUCGCAGGUCAGCAUACUGCGGUGAAUACGUUCCCGGGCCUUGUACACACA
This 1224-nucleotide ribosomal RNA is filed under the name metagenome. Its description in RNAcentral is "bacterial SSU rRNA". It matches the Rfam family "Bacterial small subunit ribosomal RNA", at positions 133 to 1391 of the family's 1533-position model. The record is from RNAcentral.